RNAcentral lists this small RNA (567 nucleotides) under Malus domestica (apple). RNAcentral's name for it is "sRNA MD05G0119800". Lineage: Eukaryota; Viridiplantae; Streptophyta; Magnoliopsida; Rosales; Rosaceae. The record is from RNAcentral.
CAACCCUUCUCAAGCUCCCGCCCUUCUUUCGCCUUCAUCAUCACUUUCCUUGUACUCCAAUUUUUUAUUCAUAUUUUUCCCAAUUAUUUCCUUCAAUUCAAUCAAUUUGAAUCCAAAACCCUAAAUCUGAAUUCCUGAUACCACUAAAAAUUGGACCAAGGUUCUAGGGUUUCUCUGCUAUUCCGAAAACCCUAAUUAAAACUUGCCAUUUUUGUCUCUUACUCCACUGGCUAAAGCUAAAGGUUGAAUAUUGCUGAAGAUCCACAAGAGUUCACUUUCUCAGCGGAAUAAGACUAUGAGAGUCUUUGUGAAAGUCUAUAUCUUUCUGGAUUACAACAGUGUGAGGUUUGGGGCUUGAGAUAUUUCAAUUGAAAUUGAUCUGAAACCGUUUGAAAAUUUUGACAUGGAUAACGAGGUGAUUGAGUUUGAUAUUGGGCUGGGAGGAGGGGGAGGCCGGGAUGGGGAAGAUGAUUUUGUAGACAUUGAGCAUCCUGUCGAUGAUGAGGAAAUGGUUGAUAGUCCUCUUCUGGGGAGUGGCACUGGCAGUGGCAGUGGUAUUGUUUUCGG